AUUUAAUGGCCGCGGUAUUUUGACCGUGCAAAGGUAGCAUAAUCAUUAGUUCAUUAAUUGUGGACUUGUAUGAAUGGUUGGACGAAAUAUUUACUGUCUCAUAAUUAUUAUUGUAAUUUAAAUUUUUAGUUAAAAUGCUUAAAUUUUUUUAUAGGACGAGAAGACCCUAUAGAUCUUUAUUUUUUUAAUUAUUAAUUGUUUUAGUUUAUUUAUUUUAAAUAUUUAUUAUAUAUUUUGUUGGGGUGACAUUUAAAUAUCUAUAACUUUAUUUAUAAUUAUUCAAUAAUUUUUGUUUUGUUGACCUUUUAUUAAUGUUAUAAGAUAUAGAUACCUUAGGGAUAACAGCGUAAUUUUUUUAUAGAGUUCAUAUCGACAAUUAAGAUUGCGACCUCGAUGUUGGAUUAAGAAAAUAAUUAGGUGUAGGUGCUUAAUAGUUAAGUCUGUUCGACUUUUAAAUUCUUACAUGAUCUGAGU
Molecule: ribosomal RNA, 474 nt
Filed under: Marmessoidea bispina
Lineage: Eukaryota; Metazoa; Arthropoda; Insecta; Phasmatodea; Lonchodidae
Description: partial large subunit ribosomal RNA
Rfam family: Bacterial large subunit ribosomal RNA
Source: RNAcentral